UAGCAAUUAUACAGCGAAACUGCGAAUGGCUCAUUAUAUAAGUUAUCGUUUAUUUGAUAGUACCUUACUACUUGGAUAACCGUGGUAAUUCUAGAGCUAAUACAUGCUAAAAAUCCCGACUUCGGAAGGGAUGUAUUUAUUAGAUUAAAAACCAAUGCCCUUCGGGGCUCCUUGGUGAUUCAUGAUAACUUCUCGAAUCGCAUGGCCUUGCGCCGGCGAUGGUUCAUUCAAAUUUCUUCCCUAUCAACUUUCGAUGUUUGGGUAUUGGCCAAACAUGGUUGCAACGGGUAACGGAGGGUUAGGGCUCGACCCCGGAGAAGGAGCCUGAGAAACGGCUACUACAUCCAAGGAAGGCAGCAGGCGCGCAAAUUACCCAAUCCCGACACGGGGAGGUAGUGACAAUAAAUACUGAUACAGGGCUCUUUUGGGUCUUGUAAUUGGAAUGAGUACAAUUUAAAUCCCUUAACGAGGAACAAUUGGAGGGCAAGUCUGGUGCCAGCAGCCGCGGUAAUUCCAGCUCCAAUAGCGUAUAUUAAAGUUGUUGUGGUUAAAAAGCUCGUAGUUGAACCUUGGGCCUGGCUGGCCGGUCCGCCUCACCGCGUGUACUGGUCCGGCCGGGCCUUUCCCUCUGUGGAACCCCAUGCCCUUCACUGGGUGUGGCGGGGAAACAGGACUUUUACUUUGAAAAAAUUAGAGUGCUCCAGGCAGGCCUAUGCUCGAAUACAUUAGCAUGGAAUAAUAGAAUAGGACGUGUGGUUCUAUUUUGUUGGUUUCUAGGACCGCCGUAAUGAUUAAUAGGGACAGUCGGGGGCAUCAGUAUUCCGUUGUCAGAGGUGAAAUUCUUGGAUUUACGGAAGACUAACUACUGCGAAAGCAUUUGCCAAGGAUGUUUUCAUUAAUCAGGAACGAAAGUUAGGGGAUCGAAGACGAUCAGAUACCGUCGUAGUCUUAACCAUAAACUAUGCCGACUAGGGAUCGGACGAUGUUAUUUUUUGACUCGUUCGGCACCUUACGAGAAAUCAAAGUGCUGGC
Molecule: ribosomal RNA, 1032 nt
Filed under: Nectria nigrescens
Lineage: Eukaryota; Fungi; Ascomycota; Sordariomycetes; Hypocreales; Nectriaceae
Description: SSU rRNA
Rfam family: Eukaryotic small subunit ribosomal RNA
Source: RNAcentral